This 444-nucleotide ribosomal RNA is filed under the name uncultured bacterium. Its description in RNAcentral is "partial 16S ribosomal RNA". It matches the Rfam family "Bacterial small subunit ribosomal RNA", at positions 338 to 795 of the family's 1533-position model. The record is from RNAcentral.
CCUACGGGGGGCAGCAGUGAGGAAUAUUGGUCAAUGGGCGGGAGCCUGAACCAGCCAAGCCGCGUGAGGGAAGAAGGUACAGCGUAUCGUAAACUUCUUUUCUCAGGGACGAAGCAAGUGACGGUACCUGAGGAAUAAGCCACGGCUAACUACGUGCCAGCAGCCGCGGUAAUACGUAGGUGGCAAGCGUUAUCCGGAUUUACUGGGUGUAAAGGGCGUGUAGGCGGGGACGCAAGUCAGAUGUGAAAACCACGGGCUCAACCUGUGGCCUGCAUUUGAAACUGUGUUUCUUGAGUACUGGAGAGGCAGACGGAAUUCCUAGUGUAGCGGUGAAAUGCGUAGAUAUUAGGAGGAACACCAGUGGCGAAGGCGGUCUGCUGGACAGCAACUGACGCUGAGGCGCGAAAGCGUGGGGAGCAAACAGGAUUAGAUACCCCAGUAGUC